Molecule: long non-coding RNA, 378 nt
Filed under: Manihot esculenta (cassava)
Lineage: Eukaryota; Viridiplantae; Streptophyta; Magnoliopsida; Malpighiales; Euphorbiaceae
Description: long non-coding RNA (MESC_LNC005424)
Source: RNAcentral
AGAGGCCUACCGGGGGUGCCCCGGCAGAGGCCCUCCGACGCUCAAGUCAGAUUUUAUGGCUCAGAGUAGUAUAUUUAGGCAAGGGUUACAGAAAGAAUAAAAAUGGUGUCCAGGAAGGAGAAAGAAGAAGAAGAGAGCCCCCCUUCUGCGUGGCCUCUACCGUGAUAUAUAUAUCUGUCUCUCUGCCACAAUGCUAGCUGUCUUCUGCCGCUUAGCUCCGUAUGUACGGAUGUGUCAGGCGCCUGCUCCAUGCGUAACGACCAUUAAUUAUCCUCUGAUACGUAUGAUUCUCCUCUGAUACGCAUGCGGAAGGACCUACCAGCGGGGCAUCUUGGUUAUUUUCCCCUUUCCGGGCUAGGUUGAAUGGUAGGGCUGAAG